GUAGGUGAACCUGCGGAAGGAUCAUUAUUGAAUGAACUUGGCAUGGUUGUUGCUGGUCCUCUCGGGGGCAUGUGCACACCUGUCAUCUUUAUCUUUCCACCUGUGCACAUUUUGUAGGCCAAAAAAUUUCCCGAGGCAACUCGGUUUGGGGGACUGCUGUGCAUCACUGCCGGCUUCCCCUGGAUUUUUGGGCCUAUGUUUUCACAUACACCAUAAGAAUGUAAUAGAAUGUUAUAUUGGGCUUUGUUGCCUAUAAACUAUAUACAACUUUCAGCAACGGAUCUCUUGGCUCUC
This 294-nucleotide unclassified non-coding RNA is filed under the name rhizosphere metagenome. RNAcentral's name for it is "partial ribosomal RNA internal transcribed spacer region". The record is from RNAcentral.